Molecule: ribosomal RNA, 433 nt
Filed under: uncultured bacterium
Lineage: Bacteria
Description: partial 16S ribosomal RNA
Rfam family: Bacterial small subunit ribosomal RNA
Source: RNAcentral
AACGAGCGCUGGCGGCAGGCCUAACACAUGCAAGUCGAGCGGACCUUUCGGGGUCAGCGGCGGACGGGUGAGUAACGCGUGGGAAUAUGCCCUUCUCUACGGAAUAGUCCUGGGAAACUGGGGGUAAUACCGUAUACGCCCUUUGGGGGAAAGAUUUAUCGGGGAAGGAUUAGCCCGCGUUGGAUUAGGUAGUUGGUGGGGUAAUGGCCUACCAAGCCGACGAUCCAUAGCUGGUUUGAGAGGAUGAUCAGCCACACUGGGACUGAGACACGGCCCAGACUCCUACGGGAGGCAGCAGUGGGGAAUCUUAGACAAUGGGGGCAACCCUGAUCGAGCCAUGCCGCGUGAGUGAUGAAGGCCUUAGGGUUGUAAAGCUCUUUCAGCUGGGAAGAUAAUGACGGUACCAGCAGAAGAAGCCCCGGCUAACUCCGUG